GACGAACGCUGGCGGCGUGCUUAACACAUGCAAGUCGAACGGAAAGGCCCUGCUCUUGUGGGGUGCUCGAGUGGCGAACGGGUGAGUAACACGUGAGUAACCUGCCCUUGACUUUGGGAUAACUUCAGGAAACUGGGGCUAAUACCGGUUAGGAGCUCCUGCUGCAUGGUGGGGGUUGGUAAGUUUCGGCGGUUGGGGAUGGACUCGCGGCUUAUCAGCUUGUUGGUGGGGUAGUGGCUUACCAAGGCUUUGACGGGUAGCCGGCCUGAGAGGGGGACCGGCCACAUUGGGACUGAGAUACGGCCCAGACUCCUACGGGAGGCAGAAGUGGGGAAUAUUGCACAAUGGGCGGAAGCCUGAUGCAGCAACGCCGCGUGCGGGAUGACGGCCUUCGGGUUGUAAACCGCUUUCGCCUGUGACGAAGCGUGAGUGACGGUAAUGGGUAAAGAAGCACCGGCUAACUACGUG
Molecule: ribosomal RNA, 468 nt
Filed under: uncultured bacterium
Lineage: Bacteria
Description: partial 16S ribosomal RNA
Rfam family: Bacterial small subunit ribosomal RNA
Source: RNAcentral